RNAcentral lists this ribosomal RNA (1959 nucleotides) under Triticum aestivum (bread wheat). RNAcentral describes it as "partial small subunit ribosomal RNA". The record is from RNAcentral. Lineage: Eukaryota; Viridiplantae; Streptophyta; Magnoliopsida; Poales; Poaceae.
AUGACCAUGCAGACACGUGUCUUCAUCGUCCACAUGUUGCCAGCCGAUGCUUCCCGCCUCUUCGCUCGGGCUUCAGCAACCAAUAUGAUGACGGAGGGGUAUGUCUGGAUUGUCACAGAUAACAUUGGCAUUGUCCUUGAUGUGCUUCCCCAGGAUACAAUUGACACCAUGCUGGGUGUUGUGGGUUUCCGGCCAUAUGUAGCAAAAUCUGUGAGGAUCAGCGGUUUCACGGCUCGUUUCGUCACUCGAUACAGAGCCAAAUUCCAUCAAGAUCCUAAUGUUAGGGUGGCAAGACCCACCAUCUUCCAAUACUGGGCAUAUGGUGUGGUAUGGGCAAUUGCGUCUGCAACUGAGAAAGCCAUAAAUCUAAGGUCUACUCCACGCAACUUAGUAGAUGACCCGGAAGUAUCUCCUGCUGGACAAGACCUUCUGAAUUCCAUAACGGAUGGGGAGUUUGAUGGAUUGGCUGGGAGAUUCAGGUUUGUUGAUAGGCAGUUGCCGGUUCCAGCAUAUGAGAUUGUGAACGUGAUUGAAGAGAAAACUAGGCGCAUUGGGUUUUGGAGCCCUGUUUCUGGACUAUCACCUUUUCUCAACUCUAGCACUCGACCAGUCCAAGAUAGACGUAGGUUACGCGCUGAUCAAGUCCUGAGAACUGUCAUUUGGCCAGGAGAUUCAACAACAGUGCCCAGAGGCUGGGACGUCCCAGUAAAUGGCAAGAUACUCCAGAUUGCUGUGCCCGUGAGACGUGAUUUUAAGUUUUUUGUGAAUGUCGAGGCUAGUCCUAACUCCAGUGAACUUGUUGUCAACGGCUACAGCAUUGAUGUCUUUGAGGCUGCUGUGAAGAAACUACCAUAUGCGCUGCGCUAUAAGUACAUUCCCUAUGACUGUGCAAAUUCUUAUGACAAGCUGGUAUCGGAGGUUUACUUCAAGACGUUUGAUGCAGCAGUGGGUGAUGUGACAAUCAUUGCCAAUCGAACUAGGUAUGUGGACUUCACAAUGCCAUACACAGAGUCUGGAGUGUCGAUGCUUGUCCUAGCUAGGAAAGAUGAAGAUGAACCAACCAUGUGGGUCUUCUUAGAGCCACUAACGAAGGACCUUUGGAUGGCUACAGUAGUCUUUAUGGUCGUCACUGGGCUAUUUGUAUGGAUGAUUGAAAAUCCUAUAAAUGAGGAAUUCAAAGGUUCCAAAUGGAAACAGUUCAGCACUUCUUUCUACUUUGCAUUCUCCACCUGGACUUUCACGCAUGAUCAAAAGUUCAAAAGCCUUCAGUCAAAAGUUAUUGUGGUGUCCUGGUGCUUUGUAAUGCUAGUUAUAGUGCAGAGCUACACAGCAAGCUUGUCAUCAAUGUUAACUGCAAAGAGGCUCCAGCCUUCAGUGACUGACCCAAGGCAACUUUUGCACAAUGGUCACUAUGUUGGAUACCAGAAUGGCUCAUUUGUGCACUCAAUGCUGAGGAGGCUUCGAUUUGAGGAGCGCUGGAUAAAGGUUUGUAGCACGCAGGAGGAAUAUGCAAAGGCAUUGAAGCUGGGAUCAAAGAAUGGAGGAGUAUCUGCCAUCUUUGACGAGACACCAUACAUAAAUUCUUUCCUCUUGCAGUACGGCAAAGGGUUCCAGAAGGUUUUCCCUAAAGGCUCUCCGUUGGUGGAGGAUCUUUCCAAGGCCAUGCUGAAUUUGAUAGAAGGGCCUGAAGGUUCUCAUAUUGAGAAGAAGUGGUUCAGUGAUCCGAUUCUAUCACUGGAUUAUGGCAGUCUGGACACCGACUCCUUGCGCCUCAGCUCACGGAACUUUGAAGGUCUAUUCAUCAUCAAUGGAUGCGUUUUAGGUUUGAUGAUUCUCAUAAACUUGUCGAGGCGUGCUUAUGCAAAAUUCAUUGCCAAAAGAAACUCUGUUUCUGCUAGUGAUGACGAGGCUCAACCUUCGCCGAAUGGCAACGGCGUGCCUGCUAUCCAGUCCCUCUAG